Taeniopygia guttata (zebra finch) is the source of this 2704-nucleotide long non-coding RNA. Lineage: Eukaryota; Metazoa; Chordata; Aves; Passeriformes; Estrildidae. The record is from Ensembl.
AGUCCCCAGCGUGCCACGCUCCAAGCCCGUGUCUCCAAUAACGACCGUGAGCUCACUGAAAACACCCUCCAGCACAGCGAAGGACUCCAAGAUACCCAUCAGCAUUAAACACCUUUCCUCGCAUUCCGCCAGCCAUGGAGCAGAUGCCAGUAACAGCCAUCACGUCGCACACCAUCACCUGGCCAAAAGUGAGAUGCACAGAACAAAAAUCCCUGUCUCCAAAGUCCUGGUACGCCGGGUCAGUAACAGGGGCGUAGCAGGGACAACGGUGAAAACUGCCACGUACCAGGACAGUGCCAAAAAGUAGUUGGGUAAGAAGUGAGGCAAAGGCAGAGAGCAAUGUCCAUGUGGGAAAGUCUGCAUAGGAAACCACAGAUAAUAUGUUAGUUUUGCAUCACCUAAGAAAGUCACCUAAAAGGUUUCCUUCACUGUACUCUGUGGGCCUGCACUUCUGAGUCUCUCCUUACUAGACUGUAUGGCUAAAUACAAGAAGUCAACUUCUUUUUGAGCACCUUUUUUUUACAUUUGUAUCUUUUUUCUGCAACACUAAACACUGGGGAGGUUCAUUUUUACAUGCCUUUCUGGAAGCAGGACUUGGAUUAUGACCAUCCUUCCUCGUGCAAAGCAGUGUCAUGAGUUCUUCAAGGGAACAGUGCUACAAAAGGAGCAACAUGAGAGGUUCUCCUAUACACUUAUCUUUUAAUCAUUUCUAGGGGAGGAGUGGAGGCUGGGUGCCUGGCUGGCUCUGGAAAUGAUGUUUGCUCCACGAGAUGUUGGAAAAAAUGCCAAGCAGAAAACAACCCACCUAACAGAUGGAUGAUGUGCAGGAGCUUCCUCCAGAGGUUACCAACCUGCAGCUCCUGUGGCCUGUCAGACCUCCUUGCUGCAGAAACGCUCCAUGCAGCAAGGAUCACUAAUGCUCUGCUGUUCCCCAGCUGCCCAUCAGAGGGCUUUUCUGCAGGGCUUCUCCAGGCUCCUGGCACUGCUGUGGGGCUGUUUAACAUGGCUCAGGAAGGAGAAUGGCUGCAGAACAGGGCAGAGAAUUGGAGUCAGGCUGUGAUAUCCUUUCACAGAUGUCCUCCUGUGACCUUCAGUGCAGAACCACAUCCCUUUGCUUUUUCCACCUCUAAAUGGGGAUUGCCAGCCUUCUUCAAAUUUUGCACCAAUGCAAGUGUUUUACUUAGGAUGCCUUCAUACUCUGUUGUGGACUGCGAGUGGUAUGAGAGCCCCUCCAGGUUGUGUGUGCUUGAGCCACAGCCCCAGAGUGCCAACAGACCAGACAGAAGGAAGGCAUGGGCAUUUGGAGAAACCAAGCCCCCUCUGGGGAAAUGUGUCCAGGUGGAAAAGGCACUUGCAGGACCAAAGAACACCUGAGCUUUAGUUCUGCUUCUCCCACUCCCCUGCUGCCUGCCUGUGUGUGAACCAGUGCACUUCCAUUCUGGGCAUUUGCAAAGUGCAAGUGUCAUUUGCUGGAACAUCUUCUGCUCCAACUAUUCAAGUGUGGUGAAGCAGAUUAGCCCAGUUUGUGGCUGCUGUUUCUGUCCAAGCUUGUGCCAGUUCCAGGGAUUGCUCUCCUCCAUGACUCGAAGGUUUGACACAAGUUGGCUCCAUGAUACCCUUCAUCUGGAGAGCUCAGUGAGUGACAUGUGUGGUAAGUUCACUCCUGUUGCCUUCCCCUGACCAUCCCCUUUUGAUGGCUUUUACAGCACACUCCAGUGAGGAGCUGGGACAUGCAGAAGGGCUUGUGUGCUACACAGGCACUCUGGCUCUCAGGCUCUGACCCUGCUCUCAGAGGUGAUGGCUGAGAUCUUCACAUGUUGCUCAGGCUGGGAGAGGACCAGAUCUCUGCAGAGGGCUUUUGAACCUCUCAUGUGUUGGAAAAGCUACAGUGCUUACAAGGCGUAACUUCAGCUGCUGUACAAUUUAUAAUUUCCUUUAAUUUCUUGAAGCGCUGUAAUUUUUACACUGUUGUGAAAGGAUCUUUGUUUACAAUGAUUGCAAAGGGUAAUAUUUCCAGCAUGGGUAACCAUGGCAAUGAGUAAUUCUAUUCUUAGGAACUGUGCCAGCUGCACUAAGGCCUUAUAGUAGCACUCAAGCAGUUUGCUAAUGAGAGAGUUCUCGUUUAUUGUAGGAGAACAUUUUCCCGUGUCCACACGUUAGCCCAGUAGUUUCUUAAAAGCACAUUCUUUAUCAGUAAUACAUGGGGAAAAAAAAAAAAAAAAAAGCAUCAAACCAAAAUAAGCUCAGUCACACAGCUCCUCUCACAAGUAACAUUCUCAUGUGUUUUUUUUUUUCAUUGCAAACUGUAUGAUAAAACACAUUUUAAAAUGAAAUCUAUGGUAUGCAAUAGUGAGCUUACAAUGCUCUAGAGCAGCAGUUUCUUGCAAAAAAAGACAACACCCUGUAAACUGACACAAAAUUAUGCAGGUUUUAUCACUAGAGGAAAGACUUCAACUGUUUUAAAAUACUAGUUUUAUAUGUAAUUUUGAGUAAAAAAAAAUUGUAUAUUGUAUUACUUGUUAAAACAUAUGUUACAGCUGGAGUUGAAUUACUUCAACACUAAAGAACUGAAAUUGAUUAAAGUAUUGUUCUUAUACAUGUGUGAACAUGAUUCCUAUAUUUGUAAAGAUGUAUGUAAAAUAAGUAAAAUAUUUAUUUUGCUUGUUUCAUUAUAUAAAUGCAAUUUAAAUGAUUCUAAAAAUAA